AUUGAACGCUGGCGGCAUGCCUUACACAUGCAAGUCGAACGGCAGCACGGGAGCAAUCCUGGUGGCGAGUGGCGAACGGGUGAGUAAUAUAUCGGAACGUGCCCAGUCGUGGGGGAUAACGCAGCGAAAGCUGUGCUAAUACCGCAUACGAUCUACGGAUGAAAGCGGGGGAUCGCAAGACAUCGCGCGAUUGGAGCGGCCGAUAUCAGAUUAGCUAGUUGGUGAGGUAAAGGCUCACCAAGGCGACGAUCUGUAGCUGGUCUGGGGGGAAGACCAGCCACACUGGAACUGAGACCCGGUCCAGACUCCUACGGGAGGCAGCAGUGGGGAAUUUUGGACAAUGGGAGCAAGCCUGAUCCAGCAAUGCCGCGUGCAGGAUGAAGGCCUUCGGGUUGUAAACUGCUUUUGUACGGAACGAAACGGUGAGCUCUAAUACAGUUUGCUAAUGACGGUACCGUAAGAAUAAGCACCGGCUAACUACGUGCCAGCCGCCGCCGUAA
RNAcentral lists this ribosomal RNA (500 nucleotides) under uncultured bacterium. Its description in RNAcentral is "partial 16S ribosomal RNA". It matches the Rfam family "Bacterial small subunit ribosomal RNA", at positions 30 to 523 of the family's 1533-position model. The record is from RNAcentral.